Molecule: transfer RNA, 88 nt
Filed under: Cycloclasticus pugetii
Lineage: Bacteria; Pseudomonadati; Pseudomonadota; Gammaproteobacteria; Thiotrichales; Piscirickettsiaceae
Also listed under: 2 other names
Description: tRNA-Leu
Rfam family: tRNA
About the family: Transfer RNA (tRNA) molecules are approximately 80 nucleotides in length. Their secondary structure includes four short double-helical elements and three loops (D, anti-codon, and T loops).
Source: RNAcentral
GCCUGGGUGGUGAAAUUGGUAGACACACGGGACUUAAAAUCCCGCGACUUUAACGGUCGUGCCGGUUCGAUUCCGGCCCCAGGCACCA